UGUGGGUAGGGGUGAAAGGCCAAUCAAACUCCGUGAUAGCUGGUUCUCCCCGAAAUGCAUUUAGGUGCAGCGUCGCAUUGUGUGCUUGUUGGAGGUAGAGCUACUGGUUGGUUGAGCGGGACGAUAAUCUUAGCAACAUCAGCUAAACUCCGAAUGCCAGCAAUGUGGGUGCGGCAGUGAGACUGCGGGGGAUAAGCUCCGUUGGUCGAGAGGGAAACAGCCCAGAUCGUCGGUUAAGGCCCCUAAGGGUGUGCUCAGUGGGAAAGGAUGUGGGAUCGCGAAGACAGCCAGGAGGUUGGCUUAGAAGCAGCCAUCCUUGAAAGAGUGCGUAAUAGCUCACUGGUCGAGUGGUUCUGCGCCGAUAAUGUAGCGGGGCUUAAGUACACCGCCGAAACCGCGGCAACACAUGUAAAGUGUGUUGGGUAGGGGAGCGUCGUGCAUGUGUUGAAGCUACUUGGUGACAGGUGGUGGAGUGUGUGCGAGUGAGAAUGCAGGCAUGAGUAACGAUUGAUGUGUGAGAAACAUAUCCGCCGGAUGACUAAGGGUUCCUGGGUGAAGUUUGUCUUCCCAGGGUGAGUCGGGGCCUAAGGCGAGGCCGACAGGCGUAGUCGAUGGAUGACGGGUUGAUAUUCCCGUACCCGUGUGCGUGCGACAAGUGAUGAAUCUUAUGGUACUAACCGCCCGCUUACGUGCACUGGUCUUUUUGGUUGGUGUGUGUGGGUGCGUGGGAUCUUCGUGGGUAGUAGUCAAGUGAUGGGGUGACGCAGAGUGGUAGCUAGGCUUCCUUAUUGGAUUGGAGUGCAAGCGUGUGGCCUGUGGGGUUGGGAAAUCCGCCCCACACAUGAGGUGAGGCGUGAUGCGGACACCAUGUUGUGGUGGUAGUUAGUGUGCCUGUGCUGUCUAGAAAAGCCUCUAGCGAGUGCGUGCAUGGCCCGUACCGGAAACCGACACAGGUGGUCAGGUAGAGAAUACUAAGGCGUUCGGGUGAACUGUGGUUAAGGAACUCGGCAAAAUGCCCCCGUAACUUCGGGAGAAGGGGGACCAUUACUAGUUGCUGACAGCAUUAUAGCUGGUGGUGGUCGCAGAGGAGAGAGGGAAGCGACUGUUUAUUAAAAACACAGGUCCGUGCGAAAACGUGGAAGUUGAGGUAUACGGACUGACGCCUGCCCGGUGCUGGAAGGUUAAGAGGACCCGUGAGUGCGCCUUUAGUGUGUGCGAGGCGGAGAAUUGAAGCCCCAGUAAACGGCGGUGGUAACUAUAACCAUCCUAAGGUAGCGAAAUUCCUUGUCGGGUAAGUUCCGACCUGCACGAAUGGCGUAACGACUUCCCUGCUGUCUCAACCACAGGCCCGGUGAAAUUGCAGUACGAGUAAAGAUGCUCGUUUCGCGCGGCAGGACGAAAAGACCCCGGGACCUUUACUAUAGCUUGGUAUUGGUGUUUGGUCAUGCUUGUGUAGGAUAGGUGGGAGACUGUGAAACCAUGACGCUAGUUGUGGUGGAGUCGCAGGUGAAAUACCACUCUGGUGUGAUUGGGUACCUGAACCUUGGCCCGUGAUCCGGGUUGGGGACAGUGCCUGGUGGGUAGUUUAACUGGG
Molecule: ribosomal RNA, 1594 nt
Filed under: human metagenome
Description: bacterial LSU rRNA
Rfam family: Bacterial large subunit ribosomal RNA
Source: RNAcentral